Molecule: ribosomal RNA, 633 nt
Filed under: uncultured Halomonas sp.
Lineage: Bacteria; Pseudomonadati; Pseudomonadota; Gammaproteobacteria; Oceanospirillales; Halomonadaceae
Description: bacterial SSU rRNA
Rfam family: Bacterial small subunit ribosomal RNA
Source: RNAcentral
CGCCUGGGGAGUGCGGCCGCAAGGUUAAAACUCAAAUGAAUAGACGGGGGCCCGCACAAGCGGUGGAGCAUGUGGUUUAAUUCGAUGCAACGCGAAGAACCUUACCUACUCUUGACAUCCUGCGAAUUCGGUAGAGAUACCUUAGUGCCUUCGGGAACGCAGAGACAGGUGCUGCAUGGCUGUCGUCAGCUCGUGUCGUGAAAUGUUGGGUUAAGUCCCGUAACGAGCGAAACCCUUGUCCUUAUUUGCCAGCGCGUAAUGGCGGGAACUCUAAGGAGACUGCCGGUGACAAACCGGAGGAAGGUGGGGACGACGUCAAGUCAUCAUGGCCCUUACAAGUAGGGCUACACACGUGCUACAAUGGUCGGUACAAAGGGUUGCCGACUCGCGAGAGUGAGCCGAUCCCGAAAAGCCGAUCUCAGUCCGGAUCGGAGUCUGCAACUCGACUCCGUGAAGUCGGAAUCGCUAGUAAUCGUGGAUCAGAAUGCCACGGUGAAUACGUUCCCGGGCCUUGUACACACCGCCCGUCACACCAUGGGAGUGGACUGCACCAGAAGUGGUUAGCCUAACGCAAGAGGGCGAUCACCACGGUGUGGUUCAUGACUGGGGUGAAGUCGUAACAAGGUAACCGUA